This 711-nucleotide ribosomal RNA is filed under the name Triticum aestivum (bread wheat). RNAcentral's name for it is "partial small subunit ribosomal RNA". Lineage: Eukaryota; Viridiplantae; Streptophyta; Magnoliopsida; Poales; Poaceae. The record is from RNAcentral.
AUGGAUAUGGUUCAGUCUGUAUCAUUUUCAGUCCUCUUCAAUGGAGAGAAGCUUGAACAUUUUACUCCUACCAGAGGCAUCCGUCAGGGAGAUCCAAUCUCCCCGUAUCUUUUCUUGAUUGCAGCAGAGGGCCUUUCGUGCCUUUUAAGAUCCAGUUCUCUUUCGUCUAGUCUUCAAGGGGUCAAGGUGGCUCCGACAGCUCCGGCGGUCAACCAUCUCCUGUUUGCUGACGAUAGCCUGCUGUUUUUCAAGUCAAGUGUUGAGGGGGCUGCGAGGGUCUCAGUUUUAUUGGAGAUAUACUGUAAAGCGUCGGGUCAGAAGACAAACAAUGCAAAAUCUUCAAUCUUUUUCAGCAAGAAGUGCCCAAAUGAGGUGAGAAAUGAGGUCAAACAGAUUUUGAAUGUAACAAAUGAAUCUUUGAGUGAAAGAUACUUGGGGAUGCCCACGGAAGUUGGCCAAUCUAAAAAGGGUACUUUCAAGUAUUUGAGAGAUAGAAUUUGGGAGAAGGUGAGAGGAUGGAUGGAAAAACUUCUUUCAGUUGGAGGGAAAGAAGUGCUCAUCAAAUCAGUGGCUCAAGCAAUCCCAGUAUUUUCAAUGGCGUGCUUUCGGUUACCCAGAGGCCUUUGUGAAAAUAUUGAAUCCAUUAUAAGGCAGUUCUGGUGGGGGAGCAAGCAAGGAAGGAGGAAGCCCGCAUGGGUAUCUUGGGACGUC